Podarcis lilfordi (Lilford's wall lizard) is the source of this 69-nucleotide non-coding RNA. The record is from the annotation of a GenBank genome assembly. NCBI's taxonomy places the organism in Eukaryota, Metazoa, Chordata, Lepidosauria, Squamata, Lacertidae.
GCCAUAGCUCAGUGACAGAGCAUCUGCUUUGCAUGCAGAAAGUCCCUGGUUCAAUACCCAGUAUCUCUA